AAUUGAAGAGUUUGAUCAUGGCUCAGAUUGAACGCUGGCGGCAGGCCUAACACAUGCAAGUCGAGCGGUAACAGAGAGAAGCUUGCUUCUUUGCUGACGAGCGGCGGACGGGUGAGUAAUACUUGGGAACUUGCCUCUAGGCGGGGGACAACCACUGGAAACGGUGGCUAAUACCGCAUAAUGUCUACGGACCAAAGUGGGGGACCUUCGGGCCUCACACCUAGAGAUGGGCCCAAGCGGGAUUAGCUAGUUGGUGAGGUAAAGGCUCACCAAGGCGACGAUCCCUAGCUGUUCUGAGAGGAUGAUCAGCCACACUGGGACUGAGACACGGCCCAGACUCCUAUGGAGGCAGCAGUGGGGAAUAUUGCACAAUGGCGCAAGCCUGAUGCAGCCAUGCCGCGUGUGUGAAG
This 410-nucleotide ribosomal RNA is filed under the name Idiomarina baltica OS145. RNAcentral's name for it is "bacterial SSU rRNA". It matches the Rfam family "Bacterial small subunit ribosomal RNA", at positions 1 to 410 of the family's 1533-position model. Lineage: Bacteria; Pseudomonadati; Pseudomonadota; Gammaproteobacteria; Alteromonadales; Idiomarinaceae. The record is from RNAcentral.